Molecule: transfer RNA, 110 nt
Filed under: Cephalotrichum gorgonifer
Lineage: Eukaryota; Fungi; Ascomycota; Sordariomycetes; Microascales; Microascaceae
Description: transfer RNA-Gln(CTG)
Rfam family: tRNA
About the family: Transfer RNA (tRNA) molecules are approximately 80 nucleotides in length. Their secondary structure includes four short double-helical elements and three loops (D, anti-codon, and T loops). Further hydrogen bonds mediate the characteristic L-shaped molecular structure. tRNAs have two regions of fundamental functional importance: the anti-codon, which is responsible for specific mRNA codon recognition, and the 3' end, to which the tRNAs corresponding amino acid is attached (by aminoacyl-tRNA synthetases). tRNAs cope with the degeneracy of the genetic code in two manners: having more than one tRNA (with a specific anti-codon) for a particular amino acid; and 'wobble' base-pairing, i.e. permitting non-standard base-pairing at the 3rd anti-codon position.
Source: RNAcentral
GGUCCAAUAGUCUAGUUGGUUAGGACGUGGGUUUCUGAUCUGUCCCCGUUAGUUAAAUAACUUGGACAUCUGAACUGCCCGAAGCCUCAGUUCGAAUCUGGGUUGGACCU